Molecule: ribosomal RNA, 783 nt
Filed under: uncultured Rhodobacterales bacterium
Lineage: Bacteria; Pseudomonadati; Pseudomonadota; Alphaproteobacteria; Rhodobacterales
Description: partial 16S ribosomal RNA
Source: RNAcentral
UGGCUAUCUGGUCGAUCCCCAGACCGCGGAGAUGGUGAAUUCGGUGCUGCGCACCGCGGCCUCUAUCCGCUCGAUCGCCAGCGUGGUGCAUGUGGAAGCAACGUCCUAUGACGUGCUCAUCGACCAUACGGACAUCGGCGCGGGCUGGGCCACGGAAACCGAUCCGUCGACUGAAACGUCGACACCGUCCAUCGACCGGAUCACCGUGCCGCUGCAUGAGCUCUCGGCGCUGCCGAAGGCGUCCCAGCGGCUGCUGGAUGAUGUGGCCUUCGAUAUCGAGAGCUGGCUUGCCGGCCGCAUCGCGGACAAGUUCGCCCGGGCCGAGGCAGCGGCCUUCAUCAACGGGGACGGUGUGGACAAGCCCACCGGUUUCCUGACCCACACGGCGGUGGACAAUGAUGUCUGGGCCUGGGGCAAUCUGGGCUACGUGCCGUCGGGAACCGCCGGGGCCGUGGACGGGGAUGCCAUCGUCGAUCUGGUCUAUGCGCUGGGGGCGGAAUACCGCGCCAAUGGCACCUUCGUGAUGAAUUCGAAGAUGGCGGGUCAGAUCCGCAAGCUCAAGGAUGCCGACGGUCGCUUCCUGUGGUCUGACGGUCUGGCCAGCGGUGAACCGGCGCGCCUGAUGGGGUAUCCGGUGCUGAUCGCCGAAGACAUGCCCGAUCCGACGACCGACAGUUUCUCGCUCGCGUUUGGCGACUUCGGUGCGGGCUACACGGUUGCGGAGCGCCCCGAUCUGCGGGUUCUGCGUGAUCCCUUCAGCGCAAAGCCGCAUGUGCUGUUCUA